CAAGUCGAACGAUGAACCACUUCGGUGGGGAUUAGUGGCGAACGGGUGAGUAACACGUGGGCAAUCUGCCCUUCACUCUGGGACAAGCCCUGGAAACGGGGUCUAAUACCGGAUAACACUUCCACUCUCCUGAGUGGUGGUUAAAAGCUCCGGCGGUGAAGGAUGAGCCCGCGGCCUAUCAGCUUGUUGGUGAGGUAAUGGCUCACCAAGGCGACGACGGGUAGCCGGCCUGAGAGGGCGACCGGCCACACUGGGACUGAGACACGGCCCAGACUCCUACGGGAGGCAGCAGUGGGGAAUAUUGCACAAUGGGCGAAAGCCUGAUGCAGCGACGCCGCGUGAGGGAUGACGGCCUUCGGGUUGUAAACCUCUUUCAGCAGGGAAGAAGCGAAAGUGACGGUACCUGCAGAAGAAGCGCCGGCUAACUACGUGCCAGCAGCCCGGGGGUAAUUCA
RNAcentral lists this ribosomal RNA (454 nucleotides) under Streptomyces sp. HVYN-5-2. RNAcentral describes it as "bacterial SSU rRNA". It matches the Rfam family "Bacterial small subunit ribosomal RNA", at positions 58 to 527 of the family's 1533-position model. Lineage: Bacteria; Bacillati; Actinomycetota; Actinomycetes; Kitasatosporales; Streptomycetaceae. The record is from RNAcentral.